This 314-nucleotide unclassified non-coding RNA is filed under the name Zea mays. Its description in RNAcentral is "misc RNA Zm00001eb350980". The record is from RNAcentral. Lineage: Eukaryota; Viridiplantae; Streptophyta; Magnoliopsida; Poales; Poaceae.
GCACUGGCUGGAAGCGAUUGACUCGCGGCACCGGUACGGCCACAACCUUCACUGCUACUACGACUGCUGGCUCCACUUCGAAAGCAAGCAACCUUUCUUCUACUGCUAAUUCUGAGAUUGGCCAUCUGAUUUCUGAGAUGAGCUCCCAUGUUCAUAAUAUUUGCGCUGUGCUAAAUGAGGCCGCACUUGAAGAAAUCUUAUAUCAGUUUGAGGAAAAACUCCAAGCUGAAAGAGAGGAAGCUGCUAGGAAGCAGGAAGAGUUGCAAGCACAACUACAAGCUCAACAGGCCGCACUUGAAGAAAACCAAAGUUUG